Molecule: non-coding RNA, 212 nt
Organism: Pelobates cultripes (western spadefoot toad)
Lineage: Eukaryota; Metazoa; Chordata; Amphibia; Anura; Pelobatidae
Source: the annotation of a GenBank genome assembly
UUUUGUUUUUGUCCCCAUUUUUCAUGAGCUGAACUCAAAGAUCUAGGACAUUUUCUAUGUACACAAAAGGCCUAUUUCUCUCAAAUAUUCUUCACAAAUCUGUCUAAAUCUGUGUUAGUCUGCACUUCUCCUUUGCUGAGAUAAUCCAUCCACCUCAUAGGUGUGGCAUAUCUUUGAGUUCAGCUCAUGAAAAAUGGGGGCAAAAACAAAAG